UGUGUUAGCAUGGAAUAAUGAAAUAUGACUCUAGUCCUAUUUUCGUUGGUUUAGGUACUUCAGUAAUGAUGAAUAGAAACGGUUAGGGGCAUUUGUAUUUGGUCGCUAGAGGUGAAAUUCUUGGAUUGA
RNAcentral lists this ribosomal RNA (129 nucleotides) under Rhizopus arrhizus. RNAcentral describes it as "Rhizopus oryzae partial small subunit ribosomal RNA". It matches the Rfam family "Eukaryotic small subunit ribosomal RNA", at positions 800 to 928 of the family's 1831-position model. Lineage: Eukaryota; Fungi; Mucoromycota; Mucoromycetes; Mucorales; Rhizopodaceae. The record is from RNAcentral.